GCCCGUGAUGCCGCCCCGGGCAACCGCCCGUGUCGCCCGUAUCUAAAACCGCUACUGAUGAGAUCCAAAUAUAUGCCAAUGUCAACACAUGUUCAUGUUGAUGAGGUUUACUGAACAAAUUUGAAUCAUCACAACAACCAAAAUGUUAGCAACACAUUAUAAAGUUUAUUAUUAUCACUAUGGUAACCAUGUUUAUGUUUGUUACCUGCUAACUCAAACACAUUCUGUAGGUGUCACAUUUUGAGGACUAUAAUAAAGGAGGAUACUGUGGGUGUUGGAGAGGACCCACUGAAAAAUGUGAGUGCACGAAAGGAUCUCACAGAUGAACAUGUGGCCCCUGACACUCCAGCCACCUCUUCUGCACCAGUCUCACCUCCAGCUGAGGCUCAGACGAACAAAUCAAAGAAGGCUUCCUGGUGGCGCAGAUGGCUUUUUUUUUGAGAAAAAGUCAAAGGUUUUUCCCAAAAAUGAAGACAAGGCAGAAGACACGGUCGUGCCACCUUCUGAACCCCAACAGAGUACCAUCAGCACUGAAA
Long non-coding RNA from Oreochromis aureus, 536 nucleotides. RefSeq lists it as uncharacterized. NCBI's taxonomy places the organism in Eukaryota, Metazoa, Chordata, Actinopteri, Cichliformes, Cichlidae. The record is from RefSeq and is a predicted model, not a curated record. The transcript has 5 exons.